CUUGCUUCUGUCGAAGAUAUCUAAACUGAGACUGAUAGGGGUAUUUCUCUUAAGCCCUACAUGCUUAUUAACCCUUAAUUGGGAACACAUGGGGUGGGUGUCAGCCGCAUUGUAACAUAGCUGUGUGAUACAAAAGUAAAGGCAAAUACUCAAAAACAAGUCCUGCGCUCCAACACCCACUACUCUUGGGCGGCAGCAACUGCCAUAGUACACCUUAACCCUUAACACAUACAGUAAAAACCAAG
Pelobates cultripes (western spadefoot toad) is the source of this 245-nucleotide non-coding RNA. The record is from the annotation of a GenBank genome assembly. Lineage: Eukaryota; Metazoa; Chordata; Amphibia; Anura; Pelobatidae.